This 206-nucleotide small RNA is filed under the name Arabidopsis thaliana (thale cress). Its description in RNAcentral is "ATSL122340". Lineage: Eukaryota; Viridiplantae; Streptophyta; Magnoliopsida; Brassicales; Brassicaceae. The record is from RNAcentral.
ACACAAAGGAAGAGACUUGUGACUUCGUUGACGUUAUCGUACGAUGCAAUCUUCAAUCUCUUGCGAAAAUAGCCGAGAAUACUGCGGCUGAGAGCAAGAAGAAGAUGUCUCUGUGAUGAGUCUUUGUCGUUGUCGGGUAGUUUCGUUAGAUCCGACGUCGUUUUCUAGAUUUUUAGCCGUCGUGUGAUCUAUGUUUUUUCGGCUUA